UUAACGUCAUGGAUAUUUCUAGGAAACCGAUUUGAUUAACUCAUUUUUAGGAAAAGUGAUUAAUUUUGGAAAAUACUUUCAUUGCGGAAGCUUUGCUUGUUGUCGUGUUAUUUUGAAAUCAAUUGUUGUUUUUUUUUGAAAACGCGCCCUAAAGCUGUCCAAUUUCAACAGUUAAAAUAAGCAAUACCUAUCUUAGUAAUACAUAUUAAAACCAUCAAAAAUAAUUAAGCGGCCUUAUUACAUUUAAAAACCCAAACCUCAACGUAAAUAAUAGGAUGUCCA
RNAcentral lists this long non-coding RNA (282 nucleotides) under Gossypium barbadense (sea-island cotton). RNAcentral's name for it is "long non-coding RNA (GBAR_LNC013038)". Lineage: Eukaryota; Viridiplantae; Streptophyta; Magnoliopsida; Malvales; Malvaceae. The record is from RNAcentral.